UGGGGCAUAUUGCACAAUGGGAGAAAGCCUGAUGCAGCGACGCCGCGUGGGGGAUGAAGGCCUUCGGGUUGUAAACUUCUUUUGCUCUGAACAAGGCAUGCUAAUGGGUGUGUUGAGUGUAGGGGUUGAUUAGCGCCGGCUAACUACGUGCCAGCAGCCGCGGUAAUAAGUAGGGCGCGAGCGUUGUCCGGAGUUAUUGGGCGUAAAGGGCUUGUAGGUGGCUGGUUGCGCAUGUCGUGAAAGCUCAUGGCUUAACUGUGGGUUUGCGGUGGGUACGAGCUGUGUUGAGUGCAGUAGGGGAGGCUGGAAUUCCUGGUGUAGCGGUGGAAUGCGCAGAUAUCAGGAGGAAUACCGGUGGCGAAGGCGGGUGUCUGGGCUGUUACUGCCGCUGAGGAGCGAAAGCAUGGGGAGCGAACAGG
This 419-nucleotide ribosomal RNA is filed under the name bacterium. RNAcentral's name for it is "partial 16S ribosomal RNA". It matches the Rfam family "Bacterial small subunit ribosomal RNA", at positions 355 to 776 of the family's 1533-position model. The record is from RNAcentral.